RNAcentral lists this ribosomal RNA (253 nucleotides) under uncultured bacterium. RNAcentral's name for it is "partial 16S ribosomal RNA". It matches the Rfam family "Bacterial small subunit ribosomal RNA", at positions 524 to 776 of the family's 1533-position model. The record is from RNAcentral.
UACGUAGGGGCCGAGCGUUGUCCGGAAUUACUGGGCGUAAAGCGUGCGCAGGCGGUUCGUUGUGUCGGCGGUGAAAGCCCCGGGCUCAACCUGGGAAUGGCCGUUGAAACUGGCGAACUGGAGUGUGGCAGAGGGGGGUGGAAUUCCGCGUGUAGCAGUGAAAUGCGUAGAGAUGCGGAGGAACACCGAUGGCGAAGGCAGCCCCCUGGGCUAACACUGACGCUCAGGCACGAAAGCGUGGGGAGCAAACAGG